Molecule: non-coding RNA, 108 nt
Organism: Podarcis lilfordi (Lilford's wall lizard)
Lineage: Eukaryota; Metazoa; Chordata; Lepidosauria; Squamata; Lacertidae
Source: the annotation of a GenBank genome assembly
UGUCCAGUAGCACCUUAGAGACCAACUAAGUUUGUUCCUGGUAUGAGCUUUCGUAUGCAAGCUCAUACCAGGAACAAACUUAGUUGGUCUCUAAGGUGCUACUGGACA